Molecule: long non-coding RNA, 410 nt
Filed under: Lathyrus oleraceus (garden pea)
Lineage: Eukaryota; Viridiplantae; Streptophyta; Magnoliopsida; Fabales; Fabaceae
Description: Pisum sativum (pea) long non-coding RNA (PSAT_LNC035416)
Source: RNAcentral
AGAUUCAGCCAGAGAAUCAAAACAAAGGAGAUCUAGCCAGAAGAUCAAAGAAGAUCUAGCCCGAAGACCGAAAAUAGAUUCAUCCAGAGAAUCCAAAUCGUAUCCAGCCCGAGGAUCAAAAUUAACAUCCAACCAGAGGACUAAAUUGAGUAUAGAUUAAGCCAGAGGAUCGAAACUCCAGAUUAAGUCAGAAGACUGAUUCAGAUUCAGCCAGAGGAUCAGAAGAGAAAUAAACAGCGCGGUGUAUUUUAGCAUUUUUGUGGUGUUCUCGGAGCGCAAAUUUUUGGUCUGUCUUUGGUAUUCAAUCACAGCUCACCCUGUUUGUCUGAUAAGCUGUUCGCUUUCAUCCUGCUCAGGUUAGCUGAUGACUGAAUAGGGGCAGCUGUAACACCCUAAAAUUUGCCCUCCUC